Molecule: ribosomal RNA, 497 nt
Filed under: uncultured bacterium
Lineage: Bacteria
Description: partial 16S ribosomal RNA
Rfam family: Bacterial small subunit ribosomal RNA
Source: RNAcentral
GAUGAACGCUGGCGGCGUGCCUAAUACAUGCAAGUCGAGCGAACAGACGAGGAGCUUGCUCCUCUGACGUUAGCGGCGGACGGGUGAGUAACACGUGGAUAACCUACCUAUAAGACUGGGAUAACUUCGGGAAACCGGAGCUAAUACCGGAUAAUAUAUUGAACCGCAUGGUUCAAUAGUGAAAGACGGUUUUGCUGUCACUUAUAGAUGGAUCCGCGCCGCAUUAGCUAGUUGGUAAGGUAACGGCUUACCAAGGCAACGAUGCGUAGCCGACCUGAGAGGGUGAUCGGCCACACUGGAACUGAGACACGGUCCAGACUCCUACGGGAGGCAGCAGUAGGGAAUCUUCCGCAAUGGGCGAGAGCCUGACGGAGCAACGCCGCGUGAGUGAUGAAGGUCUUCGGAUCGUAAAACUCUGUUAUUAGUGAAGAACAAAUGUGUAAGUAACUAUGCACGUCUUGACGGUACCUAAUCAGAAAGCCACGGCUAACUACGUG